GUGAGGAAUAUUGCGCAAUGGAGGCAACUCUGACGCAGCCAUGCCGCGUGCAGGAAGAAGGCGCUACGCGUUGUAAACUGCUUUUAACCGGGAAGAAACCCCAGGACGUGUCCUGGGUUGACGGUACCGGAGGAAUAAGCACCGGCUAACUUCGUGCCAGCAGCCGCGGUAAUACGAAGGGUGCAAGCGUUAUCCGGAUUCAUUGGGUUUAAUGGGUGCGUAGGCGGAGCGUUAAGUCAGUGGUGAAAUCCUGCAGCUUAACUGUAGACUUGCCAUUGAUACUGGCGCUCUUGAGUGCGCUUGAAGUGGGCGGAAUGUGCCGUGUAGCGGUGAAAUGCUUAGAUAUGGCACAGAACACCAAUUGCGAAGGCAGCUCACUAAGGCGAUACUGACGCUGAGGCACGAAAGCGUGGGGAUCGAACAGGAUUAGAAACCCCUGUAGUCC
This 445-nucleotide ribosomal RNA is filed under the name uncultured bacterium. RNAcentral's name for it is "partial 16S ribosomal RNA". It matches the Rfam family "Bacterial small subunit ribosomal RNA", at positions 354 to 796 of the family's 1533-position model. The record is from RNAcentral.